Molecule: ribosomal RNA, 1545 nt
Filed under: Triticum aestivum (bread wheat)
Lineage: Eukaryota; Viridiplantae; Streptophyta; Magnoliopsida; Poales; Poaceae
Description: partial small subunit ribosomal RNA
Source: RNAcentral
AUGAUGUCUUCCCGCAUGCUUUCGUCAUGGCAACGUGAGCAUAUCCUCCUCAAAAACCUCGCCGGAAAAACUUCCAGGCGCCUGCGGCUACAAAUAGGCCCCCCACAGCAACUUUGGUCCACUCCACUUAGUCCACUGCGCCUUGUUCGAUCCACGCAUGCUAUGCAUCUGCACGCAGGCGAGGUGCACCUCCAGUAUUUCAUGCCCCGCCAGCAGCAGGACGCAACCGACCUUCCGGACCUGGCAGCCAGCACCUCCUCCGCAGCCUCGCCGGCCGCCACCAUGUGGGAGUAUCACCAGGCACAUGCGGCCUUGCAGCCUUCCCCCUCCUGGAGCCCCUACACCGGGCCGUCCACGGCGGCUCUCCUCGACGGCUCGACCUUCGCUGCCGACUCGGUGGCAGGCGCGGCCGACAUGAGGCUGCCGGUCGGCGAGCACGUCCACGGCCAGGCCUGGAGCCACGACGAACUAAGCAACGACAACACCGGCUACAGGGAGAACUUCCUGGACCUGCUCGCAUCGAAGAACGUGACACAGGAGAUGUUCGAGAACGUCCCGGCCGGCCGUUAUGCUGCCGCACCAGCCGCCCUGGCGGCGCGGUUCGAGGCAGGCUCCGACGUUUCCCCGAUCAAGUACGAGGUUGCCGCCUCGCCGUUGUUCAUGGGGAGCGGUUCUAAUGCUCCGCUGGAGGCCCAGGGGAUGAACAUGAUGAGCGGCAUGCCAUCCUACGCCGACGACCACCACCAUCAGAGGAAGGAAGGCAUCAACCACCACCAGCAAGAACAUGGGAACCCCAUGGCCUCCUUUCUGCAGCACAUAAGUACUCGCACUAGUGCCGCCAUGCACGCUAGCCUGGAUUUUUCAGGCUUGGGAGCACUUGACAAGAUUUGCCAGGACAGCCGAGCAAUGGAGGCUGCGAGCCCUUUUAGCUUGAGGAGUCUGCCGGAUUUUGGCUCUCUCGGCGGCUACAAAACACCCAAGGAGUCGACGUUGGUGCCACCGUACAUGAGAUCCGCCGACAGGCCAGACAGAAGCAGACAAGAGCAAGAGAUCGUGCCCGCUAGGAGUAGUAGCAGCGGCAGUGGACCGCCGGCGGCGACUGAUCGUAAGAAGCGAACAUCCGAGGAAAGGCGGGAAAGCACUGUCAAGAAGUCCAAGCAGGAGGCAUCCACAGCAUCACCUCCUAAGCCAGUUCCUAAAGUGAAGCUGGGGGAGAAGAUCACAGCACUGCAGCAAAUCGUUUCGCCGUUUGGGAAGACAGACACAGCAUCGGUGCUGUUUGAAACGAUCAAGUAUAUCAAGUUUCUGCACGAGCAAGUACAGCUGCUGAGCGAGCCGUACACGAACGCGAGCAGGAACAAGGGUAACUGCAACAACCUUCUUCCAUGGGGGGAUCGUGCGGAGGCGAGCAAGGGGGAGGGGGAGCAUGACCUGAGGGAGAGAGGGCUUUGCUUGGUCCCUGUCUCGUGGACCCCCGAGGUGUACCGGGACGGCAACGCCAUGGACUACUGGACGCCGGCGUACAGGGGCUGCCUCUACCGGUGA